This 510-nucleotide ribosomal RNA is filed under the name Grammoptera ruficornis. Its description in RNAcentral is "partial 16S ribosomal RNA". The stretch from base 383 to 510 matches the Rfam family "Bacterial large subunit ribosomal RNA", at positions 2473 to 2600 of the family's 2925-position model. Lineage: Eukaryota; Metazoa; Arthropoda; Insecta; Coleoptera; Cerambycidae. The record is from RNAcentral.
GUCCUUUUGUUAAUAAUUAAAGGUCUAACCUGCCCACUGAAAUAUUUAAGGGCCGCAGUAUUUUGACUGUGCAAAGGUAGCAUAAUCAUUAGUUUUUUAAUUGAAAGCUUGUAUGAAGGGUUGGAUGAGAAAAAUUCUGUCUCUAUUUAAUUUAUAGAAUUUUAUUUUUAAGUUAAAAAGCUUAAAUUUUUUUAAAAGACGAGAAGACCCUAUAGAGUUUAAUAUAAUUUAAAAUUUAAUUUUUUAAGAAUUUUAUUAUUUAAAUUUUAAAUUUUAUUUAAUUGGGGUGAUUGAAAAAUUUAAUAAACUUUUUUUAUAUUUUUACAUUUAUUUAUGAAAGAUUGAUCCAUUUUUUAUGAUUAUAAGAUAAAAUUACCUUAGGGAUAACAGCGUAAUUUUUUUAGAGAGUUCAAAUCGAUAAAAAAGAUUGCGACCUCGAUGUUGGAUUAAAAUUAAUUUCUGGUGUAGAAGUUAGAAAUAUUAGGUCUGUUCGACCUUUAAAAUUUUACA